Molecule: long non-coding RNA, 4042 nt
Filed under: Hordeum vulgare
Lineage: Eukaryota; Viridiplantae; Streptophyta; Magnoliopsida; Poales; Poaceae
Description: long non-coding RNA (HVUL_LNC014785)
Source: RNAcentral
AAUAUUGUAGUGUUACAGCGAAAUAAAAAAUGUGUUUUGAGAUAUGUGAGAAGCAGCAUAAAAGAUGACCAAGUUCAGGUAUGCUCAAUUUCACCCGAUGAUUCAGGUUUAUAGGUGACGACCCAAGUUGUCACAGAGCGUUUCAUCAUCACAUGGUCAUUUGUGGGCUGAGAGAGGCUCGAACUCUCGACCUCAGGAUCACUCACGAUUCAGGCGCUAGCCAAAUGCGCCACCACCCCUUCGUUGUAUGGCAGGCCAAACAUCAGUCUGUAUUCUAAUCUCUUGGUUCAGAUAAAGAAAGCAUGCAAAUAGGUUUGUGCAUACGCUGCCCAAAUCGGCUGGUUCUUCCAUCGUUAAAUCUAGAACAUAGCACAUGACAGUAACCUCCACUAGAGAUCAAAUGAGCUCCAUAAAGAAAAGGAUCUCACUUCUUCGGUAGAUAGAUACUGGUGAGCAACUCUGCGUCAACCUCAGAGUGGAUUUUACCCUAGCGCAUUUCAGUUUUAUACCCUAGGUAACUCUGCCUCGCGAAUCGAUUAGUUCAUCCGUCUUUAUUAUCGUUCAACGAGUGCUUAGUAAGAAUAAACUCCCUUUUAUUGAUGAGCAUAGCUUAGAAACAAUGUGUGGUUCUAGUCAACAAGCAAAAAAUCAUCAAUUGCCUUAUCGAUUGUCAACAAGUGUUUGUUCCAAACCUUUAGAGCUCAUUUUCUCUGAUGUAUGGGGGCAAGCACCCAGUUUUGUUGUUGACUAUAGCAAGUAUACAUGGAUCUAUCUUAUCAAGCGUAAGUCACAUGUGUUUCAAGUUUUUCAAAAAAUUUAAGCACUUAAUGAACGCAAAUUUGAUCGUAAAAUUAUUUCAGUCCAAUCGUACUAGGGUAGCGAGUAUGAGAAACUCAACUCGUUUUUCAAAGAAAUGUAGAAUUUCCUACCACAUCUCUUGUUCUCAUCCACAUCAAUAAAACGGCUUUACCGAGCACAAGCAUAGGCAUAUUAUUGAAGUUGGCCUCGCACUUCUUGCCAAUGAUUUCAUGCCUCUUAAGUUUUGGGAGGAGACGUUUCUCACCACUACUCAUCUCAUCAAUAUCACCGCUACUCAUCUCAUCAAUAUCCUACCAAGUUGUGUCAUCGAUUAUCAAACUCCCAUAGAACGACUCUUUCAUACUAAACCAAAUUAUACCUCUCUUAGAGUUUUUGGGUAUGCAUGUUGGCCAAAUCCUCAACCAUACAAUACUUGGAAACUUUCCUUUCGCUCGAAACAAUGUGUUUAAAUUGGCUAUAAUCCUCAACAUAAAGGUGUCAAGUGCGUAGAUGUGAACACCUGCAGAGUACGAAGCUGAAUCGUGCAAGUGAUGCACUCGAGUUGCUCCAUGGUAAUCUAUGUGGCCCUAUCACCCCGGCAACUCACGCGGGAAAGAAGUAUUUCUUCCUUGUGGUAGACAACUACUCGAGAUAUAUGUGGGUCGUUCUCCUACAAUUUAAAGAUGAGGCGUUUGAAGUGUUCCAGAAGCUAAAGGCUGCAACGGAGAUGGAACACAAGCUGAAGGUUCGCGCUCUAUGGACAGAUCGCGGCGGAGAGUUUACGUCGAAUGAAUUCAACGACUACUGCGAGAAGAUUGGCAUAAAAAGGUUCCUCACGGCACCUUACACGCCGCAGCAGAACAUGGUCGUUGAAAGGCGCAAUCGAACUGUCAUCGACGAGAUGACCAUAACGGAGGCGGUCGGACGCUUGCGGACAUGGGAAGAGAGUGCCCGUCGCUGUCGGAAAGGCAAAGGAGGAGGUAGUGACCAACUCAUGUACUCGCGCGCAGAUUGUGAGGUCCCAAGUAGCAAAGGAAGGCGUGACGGUGGCGAAGGCUCAAACAACACGAAGGGCGAUGGAGAAACCGAAAAAGGCAAAGGAAAAGUCAAACCACAAGGUCGUGGUAAGGCGGGCCAAUCUAAAGAGCAGAAGCCACGGAAUUUGGACUUGUCCGAGGUCAAGUGCAAUAACUGCAAUAAGAUGGGUCACUUUGCGAAGGCUUGUCUGAAGCCUAACAAGCGGGAGAUCAAGGCAAAUUUGGCAAAGCAGGAAGGCGAAGGUCCAGGUCUUCUGAUGGCCAAAGUUUGUGAUCUCGCUGAAACGGUGGUUGUGAAACCAAGCCGGAAGGUGCUACUUCACGAGAAGAAAGUGACACCGAAGUUAUCCGGUGAUCAGAACGUGUCGUGGUAUCUCGACACGGGGCCAGUAACCACAUGACGGGGUGCAAGGAGAAAUUCCUCGAGCUGGAAUACGAUGUUGAAGGCUCGGUCAAGUUCGGUGAUGGUUCAGCUGUGGAGAUUUGCGGGUAAGGAUCUGUCCUCUUCGAGGGUCUCACAGGCGAACAUCGCAUACUCACCGGAGUGUACUACAUCCCACGGCUUCACAACAACAUCUCUCUAUUGGAAGCUUGCAUGCNNNNNNNNNNNNNNNNNNNNNNNNNNNNNNNNNNNNNNNNNNNNNNNNNNNNNNNNNNNNNNNNNNNNNNNNNNNNNNNNNNNNNNNNNNNNNNNNNNNNUUCUCGUUCGAAACCCUGAUACUUCGAGAGAGAUUGUCCGUUUUGUACACGAAGUGCAUCCAGUUUUUGAAGUAGCCCUCUCAAAUUUUUAACACAUGCUAUGUGGGUGAAAUGAAUUUUAGGGUCAACUAGCCAAAACAAAUAAGUAAAUGCACGAAAAAUACCAAAUGAAGUCAGAAAUUGUUGAAAUUUUGUGAUGUGCCUUUGAAUGGUGCUAUUUUGAAUAAACAAAAACUAUGGAGUUCAAAUAAGUUCAAAAAAAAUGAAAUCCCUUUGUAAGAGAUGAGUUCUCGUUCGAAACCUUCAUACUUCGAGAGAGAUUGUCUGUUUUGUACACGAAGUGCAUCCAGUUUUUGUCAUAGCCCUCUCAACUUUUUAAUACAUGAUAUGUGGGUGAAAUGAUGAUAGCAUGCCAACUUUCAACAUUUUCAGAGUUCAUUUGUACUGCUUUUCAAUUUCAGGGUCAACUAGCCAAAAAAAACGAAAGUAAAUGCACGAAAUAUACCAAAUGAACUCAGAAAUUGUUGAAAUUUUGUGAUGUGCCUUUGAAUUGUUCAUUUUGAAUACACAAAAAGUAUGGAGUAUAAAUAAGUUCAAAAAAAUGAAAUCCCUUUGUAAGAGAUGAGUUCUCGUUCGAAACCCUGAUACUUCGAGAGAGAUUGUCCGUUUUGUACACGAAGUGCAUCCAGUUUUUGUCGUAGCCCUCUCAACUUUUUAACACAUGCUAUGUGGGUGAAAUGAUGAUAGCAUGCCAACUUUCAACAUUUUCAGAGUUCAUUUGUAGUGCUUUUAAUUUUAGGGUCUACUAGCUCAAAAAAAUAAGUAAAUGCACGAAAUAUACCAAAUGAAGUCAGAAAUUGUUGAAAUUUUGUGAUGUGCCUUUGAAUGGUGCAUUUUGAACACACAAAAAGUAUGGAGUUCAAAUACGUUCAAAAAAAUGAAAUCCCUUUGUUAGAGAUGAGUUCUCGUUCGAAACCCUGAUACUUCGAGAGAGAUUGUCCGUUUUGUACACGAAGUGCAUCCAGUUUUUGUCGUAGCCCUCUCAACUUUUUAACACAUGCUAUGUGGGUGAAAUGAUGAUAGCAUGCCAACUUUCAACAUUUUCAGAGUUCAUUUGUAGUGCUUUUCAAUUUUAGGGUCAACUAGCCAAAAAAAUAAAGUAAAUGCACGAAAUAUAACAAAUGAAGUCAGAAAUUNNNNNNNNNNNNNNNNNNNNNNNNNNNNNNNNNNNNNNNNNNNNNNNNNNNNNNNNNNNNNNNNNNNNNNNNNNNNNNNNNNNNNNNNNNNNNNNNNNNNUAAGUGUUUUGAGAUAUGUGAGAAGCAGCAUAAAAGAUGACCAAGUUCAGGUAUGCUCAAUUUCACCCGAUGAUUCAGGUUUAUAGGUGACGACCCAAGUUGUCACAGAGCGUUUCAUCAUCACAUGGUCAUUUGUGGGCUGAGAGAGGCUCGAACUCUCGACCUCAGGAUCACUCACGAUUCAGCUAUGAGACCUAGGCGCCACCACCCCU